GACGAACGCUGGCGGCGUGCUUAACACAUGCAAGUCGAACGGUAAGGCCCUUCGGGGUAUACGAGUGGCGAACGGGUGAGUAACACGUGGGUGAUCUGCCCUGCACUUCGGGAUAAGCCUGGGAAACUGGGUCUAAUACCGGAUAGGACUCCGGACUGCAUGGUCUGGGGUGGAAAGCUUUUGUGGUGUGGGAUGGGCCCGCGGCCUAUCAGCUUGUUGGUGGGGUGAUGGCCUACCAAGGCGACGACGGGUAGCCGGCCUGAGAGGGUGACCGGCCACACUGGGACUGAGAUACGGCCCAGACUCCUACGGGAGGCAGCAGUGGGGAAUAUUGCACAAUGGGCGCGAGCCUGAUGCAGCGACGCCGCGUGAGGGAUGACGGCCUUCGGGUUGUAAACCUCUUUCAGCACCGACGAAGCGAAAGUGACGGUAGGUGCAGAAGAAGGACCGGCCAACUACGUGCCAGCCGCCGCCGUAA
This 478-nucleotide ribosomal RNA is filed under the name uncultured bacterium. Its description in RNAcentral is "partial 16S ribosomal RNA". It matches the Rfam family "Bacterial small subunit ribosomal RNA", at positions 28 to 523 of the family's 1533-position model. The record is from RNAcentral.